GACAGAGGGGGCAAGCGUUGCUCGGAAUCACUGGGCGUAAAGGGCGCGUAGGCGGUCAGCACAAGUCAGUUGUGAAAUCUCCGGGCUUAACUCGGAAAGGUCAACUGAUACUGUGCGACUAGAGUGCGGAAGGGGCAACUGGAAUUCUCGGUGUAGCGGUGAAAUGCGUAGAUAUCGAGAGGAACACCUGCGGCGAAGGCGGGUUGCUGGGCCGACACUGACGCUGAUGCGCGAAAGCCAGGGGAGCGAACGGG
This 254-nucleotide ribosomal RNA is filed under the name uncultured bacterium. RNAcentral describes it as "partial 16S ribosomal RNA". It matches the Rfam family "Bacterial small subunit ribosomal RNA", at positions 524 to 776 of the family's 1533-position model. The record is from RNAcentral.